CUGCAGGAGUCGCUUGGGCUGAACGACCUCCUCGGCGGGCGGCAGCCUUCCCUCCGGACUCCCCCAUUCUCUCAGAGCUGCAGAGGACACGCACAGGCGGGGCGAAAAGCGUGGGAGCCUCUUACCUGUCUCGGCGUACCGUGCGUAGACUGCAGCGAACAGCAGGCAUCUCACCGCGAGCAUGAUGCUCACAUAGUCCCAGUGAUUUCCUCCGUGCAGCGCCGUUAAAUGAACCGACACCAGCCGUGAGCGGAGCUGCAGCAGGACUCUUGUUGUUGUUGUUGACAGUGAAGACAAACACAGCAGCUUGGUGCCUUCACACUGUACGCCCGCAUUUCUCACUCCCUGUCCGCCUGCGGCGAGUUACAGACACCUUGAAGGGGCUCCUCCUCUAGGCUGGGGUAACAUGGUGUUUGUGUGUCCGUGUCGCCCUGAGUUGCUCGGCUUCACACACCUGUCUGCCGGCUUCGUUACUGAGUGAGGCUGCGCGAGGAAACAAGCAGCACGUGGGCGUGACAGGACCACCCACACUCUUUAAUGGAUCCAACACUCGGGCCCGGGAGCCCGAGGGGAAACACCUGAUAUCAUCCUCCAGACUCAGGCAUUAUUUUAAGGACUUCAAAUGCAUGCCAUCCAUCUAAUGCAUUUCAAACAGUGGUUUAUUAUUUAUAAUGCAGAUAAGCUAAGUGUAUUUUCUUUGCCCUGUCGAUUAGAAUAAAUACAUUUUCUUAUAAUUAAUAUUGAAUUAAAGCUAUUAUCCCGAAAGAAUUAUGUAAAUGAAUAUAUUUGAAUUAUAUAUACGCAAUAAUAUGAUUCACUUAUCGGUUGGGUGAAAACUGGGAUGAGGAGAACAUAUCAAAUAUUGUUCAUGUCAGCUGGUCUGAUGAGUCACACAGGACACAUCGACCUGCUGCUGCCCUUGCUUCAUCCUUCACUUCUUAUUUAAGUUUUACAUACAGAGUCAGCAUUUAUAAAGUCUUCACCACACUUGGAAAAAACCCGUUUUUUAAAGCACACAGAGGGGGGAUAUUUAUGAAUAAAAACAUUUAUUCAAAAACACUGUACAAGGUUUCAAUUCACAUUCCCAGAGACAACUGACAGACUUCCAUAUGCAAAAAUCAUGUGGCAUUCCCUUUGUCACAUUGUGACCUUUUUUUCAUGUUUAGAAGCAGCAGUGAGCUCUGGACUUCAUAGACCAUUUCAUCAUAUCAAAGAUGUCCAAAAAUGGUAUUUAUUGGUAGAUGACCUCAUACUAUAUAUCUAAUAAACCUAACUUGCUUCUCCUUGACAAAGUCAGUCCUCUGGCCCACCUUCAAAACGAAGAAAGAGCUUUUUGACAUUAAUCAGGUGGUUUGGCUCACAGUUCGUCAGUCCUCCACCCUGUGAACGCCUCGUCUGUUUGACCAUCAACACCAGCAUAUGUGGG
Oreochromis niloticus (Nile tilapia) is the source of this 1426-nucleotide long non-coding RNA. RefSeq lists it as uncharacterized. NCBI's taxonomy places the organism in Eukaryota, Metazoa, Chordata, Actinopteri, Cichliformes, Cichlidae. The transcript has 2 exons. The record is from RefSeq and is a predicted model, not a curated record.